GGUUGAUCCUGCCAGUAGUCAUAUGCUUGUCUCAAAGAUUAAGCCAUGCAUGUCUAAGUAUAAGCUUGUUUUAUACGGCGAGACUGCGGAUGGCUCAUUAAAUCAGUUAUAGUUUAUUUGAUGGUCUCUUGACACGGCGCAAGCCGUAUCAUUUACUUGGAUAACUGUGGUAAUUCUAGAGCUAAUACAUGCGUAAAAUCUCGAGCGCGGGGGGUGGUCUUGGGAUGCAGGUGGCAACACUUGUGUUCCGUUCGGGCCAUCUUUGCAUGCGCGAAGGGAUGUAUUUAUUAGA
RNAcentral lists this ribosomal RNA (292 nucleotides) under uncultured eukaryote. RNAcentral's name for it is "partial 18S ribosomal RNA". It matches the Rfam family "Eukaryotic small subunit ribosomal RNA", at positions 6 to 214 of the family's 1831-position model. The record is from RNAcentral.